RNAcentral lists this ribosomal RNA (477 nucleotides) under uncultured bacterium. RNAcentral's name for it is "partial 16S ribosomal RNA". It matches the Rfam family "Bacterial small subunit ribosomal RNA", at positions 30 to 507 of the family's 1533-position model. The record is from RNAcentral.
AUUGAACGCUGGCGGCAUGCCUUACACAUGCAAGUCGAACGGUAACAGGUUAAGCUGCCGAGUGGCGAACGGGUGAGUAAUGUAUCGGAACGUGCCCAGUCGUGGGGGAUAACUGCUCGAAAGAGCAGCUAAUACCGCAUACGACCUGAGGGUGAAAGCGGGGGCUCGCAAGUCCUCGCGCGAUUGGAGCGGCCGAUAUCAGAUUAGGUAGUUGGUGAGGUAAAGGCUCACCAAGCCGACGAUCUGUAGCUGGUCUGAGAGGACGACCAGCCACACUGGGACUGAGACACGGCCCAGACUCCUACGGGAGGCAGCAGUGGGGAAUUUUGGACAAUGGGCGCAAGCCUGAUCCAGCCAUGCCGCGUGCGGGAAGAAGGCCUUCGGGUUGUAAACCGCUUUUGUCAGGGAAGAAAAGGUUCUGGCUAAUACCUGGGACUCAUGACGGUACCUGAAGAAUAAGCACCGGCUAACUACGUG